This 20-nucleotide microRNA is filed under the name Pongo pygmaeus (Bornean orangutan). Its description in RNAcentral is "ppy-miR-920". Its record names the gene ppy-miR-920. The record is from miRBase by way of RNAcentral. Lineage: Eukaryota; Metazoa; Chordata; Mammalia; Primates; Hominidae.
AGGGAGCUGUGGAAACAGUA